AUGCGAUACUCUACUGGAUUAUCUUAAGGAUGUUUGUAUAUUGGGCUCCAAAUUUGAUCUUAUCAAAUCCGGUUCAGAUUCAGUUAUUGGUGUCGGUUCUUCUACCUGUCGAACUUCAUCAAGCUCGACUUUAGAGAGACUUAUUGUUUCACUAAGAAAUACUUUGUCCAAAAAGUGUGCCUUAUUACUGACAAAUAUCUUUUGUUCAAUAGGGAGG
RNAcentral lists this long non-coding RNA (217 nucleotides) under Elaeis guineensis (African oil palm). RNAcentral's name for it is "long non-coding RNA (EGUI_LNC068469)". The record is from RNAcentral. Lineage: Eukaryota; Viridiplantae; Streptophyta; Magnoliopsida; Arecales; Arecaceae.